RNAcentral lists this unclassified non-coding RNA (289 nucleotides) under uncultured fungus. RNAcentral's name for it is "partial contains 5.8S ribosomal RNA, internal transcribed spacer 2, and large subunit ribosomal RNA". The stretch from base 1 to 52 matches the Rfam family "5.8S ribosomal RNA", at positions 103 to 154 of the family's 154-position model. Lineage: Eukaryota; Fungi. The record is from RNAcentral.
AACGCACAUUGCGCCCGCCAGUAUUCUGGCGGGCAUGCCUGUUCGAGCGUCAUUUCAACCCUCAGGGCCCUCAGCCCCUGGUGUUGGGGACCGGCGAGACGUUUGGGGGGGGGGGGAUUCCUCCCCCCCUGGACACGCCGCCCCCGAAAUGAAUUGGCGGCCUCGUCGCGGCCUCCUCUGCGUAGUAGCACAACCUCGCAGCGGGAGCGCGGCGCGGCCACUGCCGUAAAAAGACGCAAACUUCUCAAGAGUUGACCUCGAAUCAGGUAGGAAUACCCGCUGAACUUAA